RNAcentral lists this long non-coding RNA (224 nucleotides) under Elaeis guineensis (African oil palm). RNAcentral describes it as "long non-coding RNA (EGUI_LNC056447)". The record is from RNAcentral. Lineage: Eukaryota; Viridiplantae; Streptophyta; Magnoliopsida; Arecales; Arecaceae.
CCUCCCCCUGAACCAACUCACUACUUGAUUUUUCAAUCUUCAUGCUUGGUCUUUGUAUUGGUGUCACCCUUAGGUCUUGGCACACCGACCGAUUAAGGUAAAGGGUAGAAGCUAGUUGAUUAGUCUGGCAACAAACUCACUCAAUGCUUGAUGGAUUGGACAAGCCAGAGCACCUAGCCGGCCACACUUCACCGUAGCUAUGGCCAUGCUCAUUGAGGCACCCA